AUGCUCGCUUUGGCAGCACAUAUACUAAAAUUGGAACGAUACAGAGAUUAGCAUGGCCCCUGUGCAAGGAUGGCACACAAAUUCGUAGAGCAUUCCAUAUUAAA
Molecule: small nuclear RNA, 104 nt
Organism: Myotis myotis
Lineage: Eukaryota; Metazoa; Chordata; Mammalia; Chiroptera; Vespertilionidae
Source: RefSeq, a predicted model, not a curated record